This 253-nucleotide ribosomal RNA is filed under the name uncultured prokaryote. RNAcentral describes it as "partial 16S ribosomal RNA". It matches the Rfam family "Bacterial small subunit ribosomal RNA", at positions 524 to 776 of the family's 1533-position model. The record is from RNAcentral.
GACGUAGGGGGCAAGCGUUGUCCGGAAUCAUUGGGCGUAAAGCGCUCGUAGGCGGACCUUUAAGUCGGUGAAGAAAGACCUGGGCUCAACUCAGGGAACGGCAUCGAUACUAUUGGUCUUGAGGUAGUCAGAGGAUGAUGGAAUUCCCGGUGUAGCGGUGAAAUGCGUAGAGAUCAGGAAGAACACCGGUGGCGAAAGCGCUCUACUAGGCCGCAACUGACACUGAGGGACGAAAGCUAGGGGAGCGAAUGGG